GGGGUGCUCUCCCCUAAGCUAGAUUUUGACAUAAUUUCUUCUGAUGUAGCUAGCAGGUGGUGGAGUUGUAUUUGAAUGUCGGCAGCACCCUGACAGCGAUUAGAAUGUCCUCCGUCUGCUAGUCUUCUUGAUCCUUGAAUUCUGUGGAGCUCAAAUAGACAACAAAGCUUUGUGGAACUGAUUAGGUGUCAGCAUAAAGUCUCUUAGCCUUUAUCAUACUGAUUAGGUGUUAGCAGGAUCAUGCACUUAUUAUUUCUAUAUUUUUAUUGUAAGAUGAAAAUAUAUUUAUUUUAUGCCACCACAGUCAAUAUACUUAUGGG
RNAcentral lists this long non-coding RNA (320 nucleotides) under Sorghum bicolor (sorghum). RNAcentral describes it as "long non-coding RNA (SBIC_LNC008363)". The record is from RNAcentral. Lineage: Eukaryota; Viridiplantae; Streptophyta; Magnoliopsida; Poales; Poaceae.